RNAcentral lists this ribosomal RNA (1405 nucleotides) under Staphylococcus haemolyticus. Its description in RNAcentral is "bacterial SSU rRNA". It matches the Rfam family "Bacterial small subunit ribosomal RNA". The record is from RNAcentral. Lineage: Bacteria; Bacillati; Bacillota; Bacilli; Caryophanales; Staphylococcaceae.
AUUGCAAGUCGAGCGAACAGACAAGGAGCUUGCUCCUUUGACGUUAGCGGCGGACGGGUGAGUAACACGUGGGUAACCUACCUAUAAGACUGGGAUAACUUCGGGAAACCGGAGCUAAUACCGGAUAAUAUUUCGAACCGCAUGGUUCGAUAGUGAAAGAUGGUUUUGCUAUCACUUAUAGAUGGACCCGCGCCGUAUUAGCUAGUUGGUAAGGUAACGGCUUACCAAGGCGACGAUACGUAGCCGACCUGAGAGGGUGAUCGGCCACACUGGAACUGAGACACGGUCCAGACUCCUACGGGAGGCAGCAGUAGGGAAUCUUCCGCAAUGGGCGAAAGCCUGACGGAGCAACGCCGCGUGAGUGAUGAAGGUCUUCGGAUCGUAAAACUCUGUUAUUAGGGAAGAACAUACGUGUAAGUAACUAUGCACGUCUUGACGGUACCUAAUCAGAAAGCCACGGCUAACUACGUGCCAGCAGCCGCGGUAAUACGUAGGUGGCAAGCGUUAUCCGGAAUUAUUGGGCGUAAAGCGCGCGUAGGCGGUUUUUUAAGUCUGAUGUGAAAGCCCACGGCUCAACCGUGGAGGGUCAUUGGAAACUGGAAAACUUGAGUGCAGAAGAGGAAAGUGGAAUUCCAUGUGUAGCGGUGAAAUGCGCAGAGAUAUGGAGGAACACCAGUGGCGAAGGCGACUUUCUGGUCUGUAACUGACGCUGAUGUGCGAAAGCGUGGGGAUCAAACAGGAUUAGAUACCCUGGUAGUCCACGCCGUAAACGAUGAGUGCUAAGUGUUAGGGGGUUUCCGCCCCUUAGUGCUGCAGCUAACGCAUUAAGCACUCCGCCUGGGGAGUACGACCGCAAGGUUGAAACUCAAAGGAAUUGACGGGGACCCGCACAAGCGGUGGAGCAUGUGGUUUAAUUCGAAGCAACGCGAAGAACCUUACCAAAUCUUGACAUCCUUUGACAACUCUAGAGAUAGAGCCUUCCCCUUCGGGGGACAAAGUGACAGGUGGUGCAUGGUUGUCGUCAGCUCGUGUCGUGAGAUGUUGGGUUAAGUCCCGCAACGAGCGCAACCCUUAAGCUUAGUUGCCAUCAUUAAGUUGGGCACUCUAAGUUGACUGCCGGUGACAAACCGGAGGAAGGUGGGGAUGACGUCAAAUCAUCAUGCCCCUUAUGAUUUGGGCUACACACGUGCUACAAUGGACAAUACAAAGGGCAGCGAAACCGCGAGGUCAAGCAAAUCCCAUAAAGUUGUUCUCAGUUCGGAUUGUAGUCUGCAACUCGACUACAUGAAGCUGGAAUCGCUAGUAAUCGUAGAUCAGCAUGCUACGGUGAAUACGUUCCCGGGUCUUGUACACACCGCCCGUCACACCACGAGAGUUUGUAACACCCGAAGCCCGGUGGAGUAAC